GAUGAACGCUGGCGGCGUGCCUAAUACAUGCAAGUCGAGCGAACAGACGAGGAGCUUGCUCCUCUGACGUUAGCGGCGGACGGGUGAGUAACACGUGGAUAACCUACCUAUAAGACUGGGAUAACUUCGGGAAACCGGAGCUAAUACCGGAUAAUAUAUUGAACCGCAUUGUUCAAUAGUGAAAGACGGUUUUGCUGUCACUUAUAGAUGGAUCCGCGCCGCAUUAGCUAGUUGUUAAGGUAACGGCUUACCAAGGCAACGAUGCGUAGCCGACCUGAGAGGGUGAUCGGCCACACUGGAACUGAGACACGGUCCAGACUCCUACGGGAGGCAGCAGUAGGGAAUCUUCCGCAAUAGGCGAAAGCCUGACGGAGCAACGCCGCGUGAGUGAUGACGGUCUUCGGAUCGUAAAACUCUGUUAUUAGGGAAGAACAAAUGUGUAAGUAACUAUGCACGUCUUGACGGUACCUAAUCAGAAAGCCACGGCUAACUACGUG
RNAcentral lists this ribosomal RNA (497 nucleotides) under uncultured bacterium. RNAcentral describes it as "partial 16S ribosomal RNA". It matches the Rfam family "Bacterial small subunit ribosomal RNA", at positions 28 to 507 of the family's 1533-position model. The record is from RNAcentral.